This is a long non-coding RNA of Homo sapiens (human), 482 nucleotides long. NCBI's taxonomy places the organism in Eukaryota, Metazoa, Chordata, Mammalia, Primates, Hominidae. The record is from Ensembl.
UAAAUCCCUCCUCUCCACGCUCAAGCAUCUCUGGGUCUCCUUUCCAGGCCGGACAGUAGCGCACGCAGGGACUGUGCCACCAGACAGAGGGGCGGCUCAGCUCCCAGAUGCAGUAGCCACGAUCACUUGGGCAAGUUACAAAGCCACUCUGAGACUGCGUCCUUCCCACAAAAAUGAAGGUCCCACAAAACUCAUCACAAGGAUGCAUCCUGAGAGCAGCUGCUUUGGAGGAAGGUUCUCCCUGACCUGCUCGUUCUUCCAUGGGAUUCAUCUUCCCCACACCAUGGUGCUGGAAUGUUCUGCUUGACUUACGGCGAAAGAGUUGUCUUAUUUGUUGUUGUUGUUGUUGUCAUCUGGUUUUUGUGUGUGUGUCAUUUUCGCCAUCUGUCCUGAUUGCCCUACAGGCCACAAGCCACAGACCUGCUUCAUCCUUGUUCUUCUCUCCUAGCUCUUUUUGUUGCCUUAGGAGUUUCUGUAACCCC